RNAcentral lists this long non-coding RNA (252 nucleotides) under Phoenix dactylifera (date palm). RNAcentral describes it as "long non-coding RNA (PDAC_LNC006385)". Lineage: Eukaryota; Viridiplantae; Streptophyta; Magnoliopsida; Arecales; Arecaceae. The record is from RNAcentral.
CCAAUCGGAUUGCAGAAGGGUCUGACCCAAACUCAUCCAUCUUGGACAGACAACAGGAUGUGGGCAAGUUGUCUCGCCAACCAGGCCACAGCACCCGUCAAUAGAUCAUUUCCACGGGAACGCGACACCGAGCUUCCCCUCCAACAGGCCAGGGGAGUACCAAGAAGAAACGCAUCCACGUCAGAUCCGAAUAUGUUCCAUAGAUCUUUAUCAAUAUAACCCAUCCGCUGUGGGAACCCAAAGAAUUCCCCG